This 257-nucleotide ribosomal RNA is filed under the name uncultured bacterium. Its description in RNAcentral is "partial 16S ribosomal RNA". It matches the Rfam family "Bacterial small subunit ribosomal RNA", at positions 524 to 776 of the family's 1533-position model. The record is from RNAcentral.
UACAGAGACCUCAAGCGUUAUCCGGAAUCAUUGGGCGUAAAGCGUACCGAUAGGUGGUUUUACAAGUCAGAGGUGAAAUCUCAGGGCUCAACUUUGAGACUGUCCUUUGAAACUGUACAACUAGAGGGGCAAAGAGGAAGCUGGAACGAACGGUGUAGUAGUGAAAUGCGUUGAUAUCGUUCGGAACACCAAAAGCGUAGGCAGGCUUCUGGGUGCCACCUGACACUGCUAGGACGAAAGCGUGGGGAGCGAAUGGG